This 494-nucleotide ribosomal RNA is filed under the name uncultured bacterium. RNAcentral describes it as "partial 16S ribosomal RNA". It matches the Rfam family "Bacterial small subunit ribosomal RNA", at positions 28 to 507 of the family's 1533-position model. The record is from RNAcentral.
GACGAACGCUGGCGGCGUGCUUAACACAUGCAAGUCGAACGGAAAGGCCUGCUUUCCCUUGUGGAUUGCGGGUACUCGAGUGGCGAACGGGUGAGUAACACGUGAGUGAUCUGCCCCCAACUUGGGUAUAAGCCUGGGAAACUGGGUCUAAUUCCCGAUAGGACUGCAGGGUGGUGCCUGUGGUGGAAAACGAUUUUCUAGUGGUUGGGGAUGAGCUCGCGGCCUAUCAGCUUGUUGGUGGGGUAAUGGCCUACCAAGGCGGCGACGGGUAGCCGGCCUGAGAGGGUGGACGGCCACAUUGGGACUGGGAUACGGCCCAGACUCCUACGGGAGGCAGCAGUGGGGAGUAUAGCACAAUGGGCGGAAGCCUGAUGCAGCGACGCCGCGUGGGGGAUGACGGCCUUCGGGUUGUAAACUCCUUUCGACCGCGAGGAAGCCACCUGGUUGGAAGGGUGGUGACGGUAGUGGUAGAAGAAGCACCGGCUAACUACGUG